This is a long non-coding RNA of Erinaceus europaeus (western European hedgehog), 348 nucleotides long. RefSeq lists it as uncharacterized. The transcript is spliced from 3 exons. The record is from RefSeq and is a predicted model, not a curated record. Lineage: Eukaryota; Metazoa; Chordata; Mammalia; Eulipotyphla; Erinaceidae.
AGUGAUGGGUAAUGGUCUUGGACCAUCCUCUGUCGAAGGACGUGACUCUGAGGGCAGUAGAGUAACACGCUAAGACUGUGUCCAGAGACUUCAGGUGUGGAAUGACAACCCUUCAGCUUCGUUACUCGGCCACCAGGUUCCAGAUGCCAGCAAGAUGCCAAUCAGAUUUCCCUGGACAGAAAACCCCACCAAUGUGUCCUGGAGCUCCACUUCCCCAGAGACUCACCCUACUAGGGAAAGAGAGAGAUAGACUGGGAGUCUGGAUCAACCUGUCAAUGCCCAUGUUCAGCAGGGAAGCAAUUACAGAAGCCAAACCUUCCACCUUCUGCAUCCCACAAUGACCCUGGG